Long non-coding RNA from Anastrepha ludens (Mexican fruit fly), 3266 nucleotides. RefSeq lists it as uncharacterized. The transcript is spliced from 2 exons. The record is from RefSeq and is a predicted model, not a curated record. NCBI's taxonomy places the organism in Eukaryota, Metazoa, Arthropoda, Insecta, Diptera, Tephritidae.
UAAAAUUUUGUCAUUAUUUGGAUUAAAUAUGAUUUUUGUAUUUCAUGUAAAUAAAACACAAUAUUGUUAUAACUUAGGUUGUUUGAAGGAAUCGAUUGGGGGAAAAUUGAAAAGGUAUCCGGUGUAUACUUACUUCUGUUACUAACUGUAUAUCGGAAGCCUGCAUUGCAUCAGUUAUUAAUAUUUUUUUUAUGUAUCGAGUAACAAACAUGAAUGUUUUUUUUUUAAUAUCGUUAGUCCCUACCAAGGCACAACUACAAGGUAGCAACAGUAGAGCAAAAACAACAAUAGCGUGUAUAAUAACGCUGUUUGCUUCAAUUAUCUAGGCAACAACAAAGUUUGACGCUUUAGAGAACUCACAAAAUUAUAAAAAAAAGACAGCUGCUUCACCGCUGCUACCUUGUUGACGUGCUUCAUACCGUCAUACCGUAACCAUAAACAGCUGAGCUUGACGUAGAAUUAACGACAACAUCUGCAUUUUAUCAUAAAAAUACGAAUAAUUUUCAACUAAGUCAAAUAACUCUUCGUCGCUCAUAUCUAAUAUUCAAAUUUUUAUGGCAAAUAUCAAAACAAAUGUAAAGCACAUAUUUCACAGCUGCUUACGGUUACGAGGAAAACUCAAAAUUCAGUAGAUACGUACGGCUACGGUUAUGGUUAUGGCGUUAUGGUGCCGCACCUAUAAUCGUUUACAGUAAUGCACAUGUGUUUGAUCAGAAUAGCUAAUUGCUUAAGUUACGGUUAUGGCUACGGUAUGGCACCACUAAUUGUAGUAUUAGACCCCCACAGCUGUGUAGGCUAAGAUGAAUUCACAUGAGGUGAAAUUCCUAGAGGAGCUCAUUUGUUGCUGUUGUUGUUGUAGCAGCAUAAACAGUCCCCAUAUAUGGGGAGUGUUGCUGAAGAGAUAGUCCUUGGCCGGAUAUAAGUCCGGUCGUUCCGGUAACGUAGAACCCACUGUCGUGGGAACGAGGAGCUCAUUUGUACUUUCUUCCGCUUUAUUGGUUUGAAUGUUAAGGCGAUCGGCUCUUUUUGUUGUUGGUUCGUUUGUGUGUUUACAUAUUUGACAGUCAGACCACCAAAUUGAAAAAAAAACACAUUUCAAUUUUCUCAACUUAUAUGAAUUCGCCUUGCUUUUUGAAUGUUAAUAAAAAGAAUGAGAGAUAGAAAAGUUUGCACUUUCGCCUGGUUCAAUCAGCUGAUGUGUGAUGUCACUGUAGCGCAUCUUUUACGAUAUUACAUUGAAAACUAGACUUUUAAGGCCGGAGUGAAAAUUCAUGUUAAAUAAUAUAUAAAAUGAACUAUUUAUGAAUGAAAGGAGCAGUAUAAGAACUAAAACAUGAAGUGUGCCGUGAUAAACUGUGGUAAAUCCGAUAACAACAAGUAUCAGAACGCAGUUUUUUUCCGAUUUCCCGCUGAUACUAAUCGUACCAAAAAUUGGUUAAGUUCAGCCGACAGGAUAAAGUUUUGAAUCCAACGACCUGCUACUUGUGCAUGGAUCAGUUUACAAGCGAAGACUUUGAAAAAAGUCAGAAGUACCAAAUAGGCUUUACAAAGAAACGGAUUUUAAACCGGUAUAUAAAAUGCGUUUGUUUACAAAGAAAAAUUCAGAAUCCGAAACGGCAAAGAAAACAAGGAGCCUUCAUUUAAAGCCAUUAUAGCUGAUGAGUCGUGCAUGAAACACCAAAUCAUAGAAAAAGUGUUUUCUUGGUGGUCGCUCCACGGCAGGCAACCACCAAGUGUACUUCUGCCUUAAAAAAAUUCCUCAUAAAAACCAUUUGCCAAACUGUAGGUUCCUCCAUUUGUAGAACAACAUCAAGACGCCCGUCACAAAUAGGAAGAAGAGCGUGGCCAAACAAUCAGAAAGGGUGUAAUCGCCAAUUAUAUUUUAUAUAUAUAGCUGAUGAGCAAUUAACAUCACAGGAAUGCGUGAGGUACAUUCGUUUUAUGCACAAAAUAGCGUAACAGUAACUGAAAAAAAACAGUUGUAAGUAUAACAAAUUAAAUAUUAAUCAUUUAUACAUACGUACAUGUUUAUGAAAAACACUUUAAUAGGGAAUCCGAACGUCAAGAGAACGUGCGAUUAAGCAAAUAAAACAAAAGGGCCCAGUCCGAUAUGGCAUUCCUAAAGCGCUCUGUCAUUAUGGAAAGAGGAAAAAGCAUUCGUGGAAAAGUAUGGGAAAUUUGGAAACCAUAUUUACAAACGAACAGGUCACCAAUUAAAGAACAGCAUUAGAAGGCAAGCAUGAACCGAAAACGAUAUAACUCAACCAAUAUCAUUAAUUUGAAGUGAUUGUCUUCUAGCACCAUGCAAAAUAUGCCUCUUGUUUUCCAUGUUUGUUUACAACAAGGCGAAUGUUUUACAAAAUGUGCGCCUUCAUGACACAACCCAAAUAACGUGUUGACAUGUGAACAAUCUUGGCAUUUUUUCACUCUCAGCUGCAGUGAAGUAUACACACUUUGAUUCAGCAACGAAAGCCCAAGGGCAAUGUUUCAAUGUGGAUGGAUUGAUCUUGGAAAAUGAAUAUUUCCCCGCGACCAAAAACUAUAUGUAGCUUGUUCGGGGUAAAUAGUUGAAUAUGCCCCAAAUGGCACAAAAACGUUUUUUAUUUUCUUGCGUUAAAAUAAGAAAUGAAUAAAAAUAAUUAAAUAUUUUUCCAAUUUUUUCGCCUCUCUUAAUACAUUGUGGCGUAGCAACGCAUUGCAGACGCAACACAACUCCACAGUUAAAGGCAAAUAUCUAGUUGACAACCCCAUACAUAUUUUUUCUUUAAAAUGAUAUUUAUUGAAUUUCAUCAUAUAUCAAUUACAACAUAAUUUUUCUACGUUAAAAAUACAUAGGCAAAUUUACACAAGAGGAGAAUAUGAGCCAAUAUGGGUUUGAUGCAGUAUCGUAUUGAUAUGCAACUUACAUUACAAAAAUGUGUGUAUGUAUGUAUAUAUGCAUGCUUGUUUGAGACAAUACUAAAUAUUGGUUUUCAUUUACUUGUAUAUGUUAUAAUCAUUUACUAUGCUUUAAACAAAUGGGAUGUAAGGUUCAUUUGUAAUUGCGCUUUGUAAAAAUCCGUUGCAAAUAUUACGCUUAUAUGUAAGAAUUUAUCUUGUUAUGCCAAAAAAAAAUUAGUAGGUAAGUAAUAUAUAUUGUAUUAUUAUAAAGAGAAUAUAAUCAAACUGCUUAAAAAAUGUUAACAACUAUAAAUUUGUGUUUUCGUAUUUGAAGCCAUCGGAAGCAAAGCAGCACGGCAGUAGCAAACCACUUCAUUUAGUACUUU